CUCACAGUAAUGUGGAAUCAAUACUUCUGUUCUCAGCCAUAAUCUUGAAUGUAAGAAAGUCUAAUGGGAGCACUGGAUACUUUCUGUCCUCCAGACACUCAAAGCAAGUGAAAGACAAUGGAUUUCUUCUCUACAAAACUGGAGGGAUUCUGGAAGUCAUCAAGCAAGUCACACAAGUGAAUGCAGUUGCAGAGGUCAAGAAAGGGAGGUGUCCCAGUAAAUCCUGCUUGAGUCGGUCACCAAUAACAAUAGGAGUGCAGCCAGGAUCUCCUAAUAAUAGACAAUGUGUUCUUGGGUGAUCCUAAAGUCAAACCUGUCUCUGGGAAGUCUGAUGCUAUGUGAUGAAUGUGAUGAGUCCAUCUCUCUGUUAUGUGUUGUGUCCUUCCCAAAGCAGAAAAAGCCUAAAAUGUGCAAGAAGGUUGCCACAAAAUGUAUCACACAUAGAUCUUCUGAAUUACAGACUAGGAAACUACUCCCCCAAAGAAUACAUCACAGAGUGAGCCAUGCAAGACUGCUGCAGGAUGGUGCUGUUGUGAGAGGAAAGCAAACACAGGUCCUCCAGCCUGGAUUGUCACCUCCUUCUAAUCCUGACCCGACUACAUGUGUCUUCACAAAUCAUUUCACCUCCAUUCCUGACUCUUUGCUCAUGUUGCCUACAGAGGCUGUAAAUUUUCUUUUAAGUGAAGGAGCUUAUUAGAAGGAAGAUGUACAUUUUCUGUAAUUUUUUGUAGAAAGACAAGUAGCUGAUGAAGCUGUCACCACUGAUGGGAAAUAGCUGUUUUAUGGUGACAAACAACGGAAGGAAGACCUGAAAGGAGCGACAAGUG
This 827-nucleotide long non-coding RNA is filed under the name Cyanistes caeruleus (blue tit). RNAcentral describes it as "lncRNA (ENSCCEG00000012936.1)". Lineage: Eukaryota; Metazoa; Chordata; Aves; Passeriformes; Paridae. The record is from RNAcentral.